This 260-nucleotide ribosomal RNA is filed under the name uncultured bacterium. RNAcentral describes it as "partial 16S ribosomal RNA". It matches the Rfam family "Bacterial small subunit ribosomal RNA", at positions 91 to 354 of the family's 1533-position model. The record is from RNAcentral.
ACGAGUGGCGGACGGGUGAGUAAUGUCUGGGAAACUGCCCGGUGGAGGGGGAUAACUACUGGAAACGGUAGCUAAUACCGCAUAACGUCGCAAGACCAAAGAGGGGGACCUUCGGGCCUCUUGCCACCGGAUGUGCCCAGAUGGGAUUAGCUUGCUGGUGGGGUAACGGCUCACCAAGGCGACGAUCCCUAGCUGGUCUGAGAGGAUGACCAGCCACACUGGAACUGAGACACGGUCCAGACUCCUACGGAAGGCAGCAG